UGUGGAUGUUGUGUCACUACCUCCAAGUGACAAAGCUAGUUCCCCAGACCCUUUUAGUAAUUUACCGGCUUUAGGGGCACGAUGUCAACUGUUCUUAGAAGAUCCAAUUAGACGUCCAGUAGCAUAUGGGAUAGCUUACAGUGGUGGACAGGUUCAUGGGGUUGUACUGGAUAUAAAUCAUGUGAAGGUGAGCGUA
Molecule: long non-coding RNA, 196 nt
Organism: Ipomoea nil (Japanese morning glory)
Lineage: Eukaryota; Viridiplantae; Streptophyta; Magnoliopsida; Solanales; Convolvulaceae
Exons: 2
Source: RefSeq, a predicted model, not a curated record